GUGAGUCAUCGAAUCUUUGAACGCACAUUGCGCCCGCCAGUAUUCUGGCGGGCAUGCCUGUUCGAGCGUCAUUUCAACCCUCAAGCCCCCCCGGGGGCUCGGUGUUGGGGACCGGCCCCGCGUCCAGCGGGUCGCCGCCCCCGAAAUGCAGUGGCGACAACGCCGCAGCCUCCUCUGCGUAGUAGCACUUGAAACCUCGCACCGGAGAGCGGCGCUGCCAGCCGUAAAACCCCAACUUCUGAAAGGUUGACCUCGGAUCAGGUAGGAAUACCCGCUGAACUUAAGCAUAUCAAUAAGCGGAGGA
Molecule: unclassified non-coding RNA, 304 nt
Filed under: Hypomyces sp.
Lineage: Eukaryota; Fungi; Ascomycota; Sordariomycetes; Hypocreales; Hypocreaceae
Description: partial contains 5.8S ribosomal RNA, internal transcribed spacer 2, and large subunit ribosomal RNA
Rfam family: 5.8S ribosomal RNA (bases 1-71)
Source: RNAcentral